This 497-nucleotide ribosomal RNA is filed under the name uncultured bacterium. Its description in RNAcentral is "partial 16S ribosomal RNA". It matches the Rfam family "Bacterial small subunit ribosomal RNA", at positions 28 to 507 of the family's 1533-position model. The record is from RNAcentral.
GACGAACGCUGGCGGCGUGCCUAAUACAUGCAAGUUGAGCGCUGAAGGUUGGUACUUGUACCAACUGGAUGAGCAGCGAACGGGUGAGUAACGCGUGGGGAAUCUGCCUUUGGGCGGGGGACAACAUUUGGAAACGAAUGCUAAUACCGCAUAAAAACUUUAAACACAAGUUUUAAGUUUGAAAGAUGCCAUUGCAUCACUCAAAGAUGAUCCCGCGUUGUAUUAGCUAGUUGGUGAGGUAAAGGCUCACCAAGGCGAUGAUACAUAGCCGACCUGAGAGGGUGAUCGGCCACAUUGGGACUGAGACACGGCCCAAACUCCUACGGGAGGCAGCAGUAGGGAAUCUUCGGCAAUGGACGAAAGUCUGACCGAGCAACGCCGCGUGAGUGAAGAAGGUUUUCGGAUCGUAAAACUCUGUUGGUAGAGAAGAACGUUGGUGAGAGUGGAAAGCUCAUCAAGUGACGGUAACUACCCAGAAAGGGACGGCUAACUACGUG